This 212-nucleotide ribosomal RNA is filed under the name uncultured bacterium. RNAcentral describes it as "partial 16S ribosomal RNA". It matches the Rfam family "Bacterial small subunit ribosomal RNA", at positions 524 to 734 of the family's 1533-position model. The record is from RNAcentral.
UACGUAGGAGGCAAGCGUUGUUCGGAUUUACUGGGCGUAAAGGGCGCGUAGGCGGUCGUGACAAGUCACUUGUGAAAUCUCCGGGCUUAACUCGGAACGGUCAAGUGAUACUGUCGGACUAGAGUACAGAAGGGGCAACUGGAAUUCUCGGUGUAGCGGUGAAAUGCGUAGAUAUCGAGAGGAACACCUGCGGCGAAGGCGGGUUGCUGGGC